Molecule: long non-coding RNA, 2660 nt
Organism: Arachis duranensis
Lineage: Eukaryota; Viridiplantae; Streptophyta; Magnoliopsida; Fabales; Fabaceae
Exons: 6
Source: RefSeq, a predicted model, not a curated record
UUCUGUUGCAGCUGUGGUAGUGCCCAGCUACUGAUAUGUGGUGCUCAUUCUUUGAGUUCAUUCUUUGCUGAAUCUCGUUUGGCAGAGAAUACCUCUAGAUUUUUUGCAAGGUGACAAAUUUAGAGCAUCAGCAGAUAAUUACAUUAGGCCUCUCCUAACUAAGGAGUUCCAUCUCUUUUCUCUGAUCUUUCGUCUUUGUAUAAUCACCUUGGGAAGAGGUAAUUUGUCAAGGAAGAAUUCAAGAAAUUAUUGUAGCAUUUAUACUGAGCAUCGCGUCUGCUAAAAUAAAUAAAUAUGUCAGAGGGAUUUGAGAUUCAUCAAGAGAAUAAUGAAGGAAGUGGCGGCAAGAGUAGUAAUGAUAAUGAGGGUGAGGAAAAUUCAUUUGACUUGAAUGAAUGAGUGGCUAUGAGUGAUGAUGAGGAAUUGGAAGAAAAGAAUAAUAAUGAAGCAAAGGAGGAGGAGGAGGAGGAUAACAAUGAAGAAGAAGGGAAUUCAACAAACCCAAGUAGCAACAGCACAACAUCAAGAGAAAGGAAGAGAGGGAGUGGUGUGAGACAAUAUGUGAGAUCAAAGAUGCCAAGGCUUUGUUGGACUCCUAAUCUUCAUCUCUCCUUUGUCCAUGCUGUUCAGAGGCUUGGAGGUCAAGAAAGUAAGUCAAGGAACCAAUUAGCUUUUGCCCUAAUUAAUUAACAUAUACUAUAAAUGUAUGUUAUAGUUGCUAGCUAUAUUGAAUUGCUGCAGGAGCAACACCUAAAUUGGUGCUUCAGCUAAGGAAUGUCAGAGGCCUAAGCAUUGUUCAUGCCAAGAGUCACUUGCAGGUAGCUAUUAGAUUCUACUCCUUAAUUAUCUUAUGUAUUCCAUUUUUUAACUUGUUCUUCUUCAGAGAGAAUAAUAAUUCACAAAUAAACACACAAAAAUUGAACCUGCACGUUCUCCAAUUAAACUAGAUAUAAUACUCUUUUUUACUGACUUCUAUUUGAUGGUUUUAACCUCUCCUUCUAAGAUUUUGAGAUAUGAAAAGCAUAAAAAAAUCUCUUAGAAAAUUACCUGAUUCUUAGUAAUUUGUCUUUGAGGAUUGCAAAAAUUCAUACACUAAUCUUGAUUAGUUAGGGAAAAAAAGCAUUUAGGAAGAUGAUCGAGCCAUUUUGCUUGAAGCAGGGCUUACAUGAUCAUCAUCAGCAAAAUUCUAUGGAUCAUCAGCAAGGCUUAUAUAUUCAUGAGAUUGUCUUCAGUUUCUCACACUUAUUCUUCAAUAUCCUUAUCUUCUUACUUGUCCUCCCUAGAUUUUUGACCAUGAAUGAUUUAUUCUUGCUAGAAAAUCGAGCAACUUUAAGGGCACUGUAGGUCAUCAUUCUUUAAAUAUAUAUUAUACUUAGCUUUAUUACUUCUUCGAGUUUGUAAAUAUUGCUAUAUCUUUGCAGCAAUAUUGUAUUAUGUCCAUGCCAUGUAUUAGUACCAAGUGGCUUAUUGAUUUUUCUUUGAAAUUUGUAUUAUUGUCUUACGGAUACUCUUCGAGUCUUGGUUAUAGUUUGUAUGUUCUUAUGCAAUCCUGUUUUGCAGGAGUUAAUUGAUUUUCUGAAAGAAACUGGGCUGUAGUCAAGUGCAGCUGCCACUAGAAAUGCUUCAACUAAGCUUUUGGGUGUUCUGCAUAAAUUUGUUGGUCCAGAUAUUAAAAGGUUCCCUACUGAUGUUAAGCCUGCAUUGCUCAGGGCUCUUGAUACUGAGUAUGAAAAGAAUCCAUGAGGGAGCAUCUACAGCUCCCAAGAGAUCAGUCAAAACAUCAGACUCAUCUUCCUUAGUUGCUGCUGGUGGUUUGGAUAGCUUGCCUCGUGAAGACAUUAGUGGAAAGAUUACUCCUACUCUCUUGAAGAGCUUGGAAAGUCCUGAGUGGAAAGUUUGAUUGACAAUAUCUUUCAAAUAAUUUGAUAUUGCUGGCUUGUUUUAACUAUUUAUUAUAACUGAAAGGAAUGAUGUUUCAUGACAUUCUUCUAUGAUUUCCUUUUAGGUUCGUAUGGAGUCAGUUGAAUCUGUAAAUAAAAUACUGGAAGAGGCAAAUAAGCGCAUUCAAGCAAAUGGAACUAGUACUUUAGUAGCAUUUGUAUUAUAAUUUUGAAACUGUUGCUAUGUGUGGGACUGAAUUCUGGGUGGUAAAAUCCCACAUGGACAUGAACUUUAUAUUGCAAAGAUUAGGAUAAUUACAUGGAUGGGUGGUUACAGAAGAUUAUAUAGGAUUAUGAAAGAUUGCAUUAGAUAAAUUUGGGGCAGUGUUGAUUAUUGAAAGAUGGUAGAAUCUUGUAUUUUUAUUGAAUAGGUUCUUUCUUAAUUAGUUGUUUGAUUUUUACUGUAUUUCAGAGAUACCAACAUACAAAGCUGCUUUAACUUUGCUUAUGGUAUUUGGUGUUGGACCAACAGUUUUUGGCAAUGUGUCUAAUGUCCAUAAACUUGUGAGGGAAAAUAUGGAAGCGUGUUACGUGCCUUCACUGCCUUGGCUAUGGUCGAGUUCAAGCAACCUUGGCUAUGGUCGAGUUCAAGCAAGAGUAAAGGCUCGCAGAAUCCAGUUAAGUCAUGAGAUGAAGCAACAUGAAGCUACAAUGAAGAGGGAGAGAUUGAUAUUUUUUUUCCCAAUGGAACUAGUACUUUAUAACUACUUGGGUUAUAAG